This is an RNA transcript of Hemibagrus wyckioides, 1549 nucleotides long. It is a transcript of the gene named atonal bHLH transcription factor 8, with no coding region annotated. The record is from RefSeq and is a predicted model, not a curated record. The transcript is spliced from 4 exons. NCBI's taxonomy places the organism in Eukaryota, Metazoa, Chordata, Actinopteri, Siluriformes, Bagridae.
AUCAUGGGUAAACCUCAUUUUAUUUCGGCAGUCUCCUCCUGCAGGCGGGGUAACGGUCUUUUAUGUAAAUACGGAUGAAGAAUGUUGGCAAUGCCUGGAUCACAUUAGACGGGUUUUAGAAAACACGGAAAGCAGCAGCGUGCUCUUGUUAAAAUACAACACGGAUCCCCCCCCCCGAAUUAUUCGAGUACUGUCCGGCUAAAUAGUAAGUGCUUUAGGAAAUUUAAGAAAGUUAUACGCAGAUUGAAGUUAUAUGUUAUACGCAGACCGAAGCUCAUCGGAAAUGAAGAACAGUCAUGUAAACAUGGAUCGGUGUAAUCCAGCAGAUGGGUGUAAGAAGUUAAAACGAAAGGUUCGGGAUUCUGUUAAACGCGAGGGAAAGAGCUCACAUGAAUCUAAAAAAAAAAUCGACUCAGUGGCACCUUUGCUGAGGGAAAAAAAGUUACAGCCUUUUGAUCCAGCUGGAGAAUACAUACGGCAACCGGACAUUUUAAAUACUGCUCUUGACAUGAAAAUGUAUACUUUGCCAUCACUGACUAGGAAUGAAACGGAAACACCAUGGUCGACUUCAAAAACACCACUUAAAAACAGAAACGACACAGCAUCCCUACAAGUUUCAGUCUUCGAUAAUCAGCAAGCAUUUUCAAAAAACUGUCCUCCGCAAUCGAAUCUUUUGUUGUGCAAACGCUCUGAAAGUUCUCUCUGCUCAACCUCUCGGGGUCCAUACCUUCCUAACAGUGUUGACCCUACCGACUCAGUUAGGAAACGAUCAGAAGAGCAAUCUGCUGGCGUUGUCACCGAGAUCAAAGCAAUUCAGCAGACAAGAAGACUCCUGGCAAAUGCUAGAGAAAGGACCAGGGUUCAUACAAUCAGUGCCGCAUUUGAGGCACUGCGAAAGCAGGUGCCCUGCUACUCUUAUGGACAGAAGCUUUCCAAACUGGCUAUAUUAAGAAUUGCUUGCAACUAUAUACUGUCACUGGCACAACUUGUAGAUCUGGACUAUACACCAGACCACAGCAACAUGAGCUUCAGAGAGUGUGUUGAGCAGUGCACCAGAACCUUGCAGGCUGAGGGUCGCUCCAAGAAGAGAAAGAAACAUAGCAGUAGAAGUCAUGUACCGGGCAGAAGUGCCCAGUGACCUAAUACAUGCUGUGGUGUGCUGGGGCAGCAGGAUUAAAGCUUAUGAUCGAAAAGGAUUAUCAGAAAGGCCAACUCUGUUAUUGGGGUCAAUUCAACUCUCUGGAGAAGGUGUCAUAAAGAAGCAUGGUUCAUAGAUUCCUAGACAUCCUGGAUAAAGACUCACACACACUGGAGCAGAGUGCAACAGUACAGAAGUACUUUCAGCAGGAGGCUGAGACCAACAAGGUGUCCACAGAACACUAGGAAUAAAAAGAAGAAAGAAGAAGUUGACCACAGAAUGAUUAAGACAAGGACAUAAUCUACACUGAUGCAUCCUUACACUUGAAGUGUGACGUCACAGAAAAAAAUAUGAUAUAUACUACUACUACUAUUACUUCUACUACUACUAAUCAUCAUAAUAAUAAUAUGA